This 83-nucleotide transfer RNA is filed under the name Colletotrichum cereale. Its description in RNAcentral is "tRNA-Ala". The record is from RNAcentral. Lineage: Eukaryota; Fungi; Ascomycota; Sordariomycetes; Glomerellales; Glomerellaceae.
GGGCGACUGGUUUCGUGAUAUAAUGACCGCUUAGCAUGAUCCAUGGCCAAGGUAGGUCGAGGGUUCGAUUCCCUCAUCGUCCA